RNAcentral lists this ribosomal RNA (317 nucleotides) under uncultured bacterium. RNAcentral's name for it is "bacterial SSU rRNA". It matches the Rfam family "Bacterial small subunit ribosomal RNA", at positions 28 to 334 of the family's 1533-position model. The record is from RNAcentral.
GAUGAACGCUAGCUACAGGCUUAACACAUGCAAGUCGAGGGGCAGCAUGAAAGGAACUUCGGUUCUUUUUGAUGGCGACCGGCGCACGGGUGCGUAACGCGUAGGUAACCUGCCUCAUACAGGGGGAUAACAGUUAGAAAUGACUGCUAAUACCGCAUAAGACCACAGCACCGCAUGGUGCAGGGGUAAAAACUCCGGUGGUAUGAGAUGGACCCGCGUCUGACUAGCUAGUUGGUAAGGUAACGGCUUACCAAGGCGACGAUCAGUAGCCGACCUGAGAGGGUGACCGGCCACAUUGGGACUGAGACACGGCCCAA